This 839-nucleotide ribosomal RNA is filed under the name Chamberlainia hainesiana. Its description in RNAcentral is "12S ribosomal RNA". The record is from RNAcentral. Lineage: Eukaryota; Metazoa; Mollusca; Bivalvia; Unionida; Unionidae.
UAUUUCAUUGACGUACAAAAUUAACUACUCCAAACAAACUACAUAUGGCAGCCCACACGCAUUGCCAAUCAUGGGCCAGCUAAACCAACCGCUUAAAGCGAUUAAGCUAACGGCUAGCUCAAGGCUAAUUCGCCUAAGGUUUAAUCCGGCAACACCAAUGUACUAUCUUAUGCCAGCUAGGGAACUAGGCCAUAGAAAACAAGAGACUAGGGAUGACAAAAGUGGUGCCAGCAGUCGCGGUUACACCACUACCCCAGGUUAAUUAACGCACUCAAGGGGUCGAUAACAGGCUAAAAGAUUAACUUUUAAUGUAAAAAGUAAAUUCUAACCAAACCCAACACAGCCAUCACCUAACACCACCCCAACAAACCACAACUUCAAGACACGGAUUAGAUACCCGACUAUUGUGUGGCCCAACACCUAAAAGAAUACUACGAGCGAAAGCUUAAACCUCAAACAAUGUGGCGGUACUUAAUUCCUCAUCAGGGGAUCCUGUGACUUAAAUCGAUAAUCCACGAAAACCCUAGCUAUUCUUGCUCUGCAGCUUGUGUAUGGCCGUUUUUGCUUGCUCGGAAAAGACCAAAAAGGAAGCAAUAGGGGCACAACCCCCAACAAUUCAGGUAACAUACAGCCAAUGAACAGCCGACUCAUGUGAUACAAAUAAACAUACUACCAGCUUUAGCCUCAAAACACUAAUAAAGGAGGACUUGAAAGUAAGGCUUUAGUCCACCAAACUAGCCUGAACAAGAACUUAAGUGCGCACAAAUCGCCCGUCACUCCGGCAGAAAAAUCGGAUAAGUCGUAACACAGUAGGGGUAAUGGAAAUUGCCCCUAUCAUA